CGUGAGUGAUGAAGGCUUUCGGGUCGUAAAGCUCUGUCAAGUGGGAAGAACUUACAGGAUACUAAUAAUGUCCUGUACUGACGGUACCACUGAAGGAAGCACCGGCUAACUCCGUGCCAGCAGCCGCGGUAAUACGGGGGGUGCAAGCGUUAUUCGGAAUCAUUGGGCGUAAAGGGCGCGUAGGCGGCUUCUUAAGUCAGAUGUGAAAGCCCGGGGCUUAACCCCGGAAGUGCAUUUGAAACUAAGGAGCUUGAGUAUGGGAGAGGGAAGUGGAAUUCCUGGUGUAGAGGUGAAAUUCGUAGAUAUCAGGAGGAACACCGGUGGCGAAGGCGACUUCCUGGACCAAUACUGACGCUGAGGCGCGAAGGCGUGGGGAGCAAACAGGAUUAGAUACCCUGGUAGUCCACGCAGUAAACGGUGAACACUAGGUGUAGCGGGUAUUGACCCCUGCUGUGCCGCAGUUAACGCAUUAA
This 473-nucleotide ribosomal RNA is filed under the name uncultured delta proteobacterium. RNAcentral's name for it is "bacterial SSU rRNA". It matches the Rfam family "Bacterial small subunit ribosomal RNA", at positions 400 to 863 of the family's 1533-position model. The record is from RNAcentral. Lineage: Bacteria; Deltaproteobacteria.